Molecule: ribosomal RNA, 811 nt
Filed under: bacterium W15S52
Lineage: Bacteria
Description: bacterial SSU rRNA
Rfam family: Bacterial small subunit ribosomal RNA
Source: RNAcentral
UGCAAGUCGAGGGGUAACAUUGUGCUUGCACAGAUGACGACCGGCGCACGGGUGCGUAACGCGUAUAGAAUCUACCUUUUGCUGCAGGAUAGCCCAGAGAAAUUUGGAUUAAUACUGCAUAGUAUACACUACUUUCAUGAGUUAUGUAUUAAAGGUUACGGCAAAAGAUGACUAUGCGUCCUAUUAGCUAGAUGGUAAGGUAACGGCUUACCAUGGCAACGAUAGGUAGGGGCCCUGAGAGGGGGAUCCCCCACACUGGUACUGAGACACGGACCAGACUCCUACGGGAGGCAGCAGUGAGGAAUAUUGGACAAUGGAGGCAACUCUGAUCCAGCCAUGCCGCGUGCAGGAUGACUGCCCUAUGGGUUGUAAACUGCUUUUAUACAGGAAGAAACAUCGCUACGUGUAGCGACUUGACGGUACUGUAAGAAUAAGGAUCGGCUAACUCCGUGCCAGCAGCCGCGGUAAUACGGAGGAUCCAAGCGUUAUCCGGAAUCAUUGGGUUUAAAGGGUCCGUAGGUGGAUAAUUAAGUCAGAGGUGAAAGUUUGCAGCUCAACUGUAAAAUUGCCUUUGAUACUGGUUAUCUUGAAUCAUUAUGAAGUGGUUAGAAUAUGUAGUGUAGCGGUGAAAUGCAUAGAUAUUACAUAGAAUACCAAUUGCGAAGGCAGAUCACUAAUAAUGUAUUGACACUGAUGGACGAAAGCGUGGGGAGCGAACAGGAUUAGAUACCCUGGUAGUCCACGCCGUAAACGAUGGAUACUAGCUGUUCGGUUUUCGGACUGAGUGGCUAAGCGAAAGUGAUAAGUAUCC